This is a long non-coding RNA of Leguminivora glycinivorella, 482 nucleotides long. RefSeq lists it as uncharacterized. The record is from RefSeq and is a predicted model, not a curated record. Lineage: Eukaryota; Metazoa; Arthropoda; Insecta; Lepidoptera; Tortricidae. The transcript has 4 exons.
AUUGAUUUUGGUAUGUGGCUUGAAAUUAGUAAUUGGAAAACAAGAAGGUGUCAUAGUUAGUGAGGUGAUUCCGGCAAUGGGCUGAUGAUUAACAAAUAUAUAACUGUGGGCAUCGUCUCCUAUGGAGAACUUGGGCUAAGUCUGGUCUGGUGGUCUACACGGACGUCCCAUAUUUCUAUGAUUGGAUAGUGUUAGUCCACUUUAGUUCACCAUUUGUACUGAAGCAUACAAAACAAAAAUUGUGGACACUCGAAAACUGCAGAAACGUCUUGAAAUUGGACCCACCCCAACCCAAUGGAACUAUUUGUGGCGGCGAGAAAAAAGCCAAGAAAAAUUUGGCUUCCUUAGGUGAUUCCGGCAAUGGACUGAUGAUUAACAAAAAUAUAAUUGCGGGCAUCGUCUCCUAUGCCGAUCACAAAGUUUCGCUAAGUCUGGUGGUCUACACGGACAUAUCAUAUUUCUAUGAUUGGAUUGUAGUAAAU